CAGCAGCCGCGGUAAUACGAAGGGGGCUAGCGUUGUUCGGAAUUACUGGGCGUAAAGCGCACGUAGGCGGAUAUUUAAGUCAGGGGUGAAAUCCCGCAGCUCAACUGCGGAACUGCCUUUGAUACUGGGUAUCUUGAGUAUGGAAGAGGUUAGUGGAAUUGCGAGUGUAGAGGUGAAAUUCGUAGAUAUUCGCAGGAACACCAGUGGCGAAGGCGGCUAACUGGUCCAUAACUGACGCUGAGGUGCGAAAGCGUGGGGAGCAUACAGGAUUAGAUACCCCGGUAGUCCCUGUCUCUUAUAC
RNAcentral lists this ribosomal RNA (301 nucleotides) under uncultured bacterium. RNAcentral's name for it is "partial 16S ribosomal RNA". It matches the Rfam family "Bacterial small subunit ribosomal RNA", at positions 509 to 807 of the family's 1533-position model. The record is from RNAcentral.